CGUUCCACGCUGUGGGAGGUUUGUUCAUUUGCUCUUUGCAAUAAAGCUUGCUGCUGCUCACUCUUUGGGUCCAGACUGUCUUUAUGAGCUGUAACACUCACCGGGAAGGUCUGCAGCUUCACUCCUGAAGCCAAGGAGACCACGAACCCACCGGGAGGAAGGAACAACUACAGACACGCCGGCUUAAGGGCUGUAACACUCACUGCGAAGGUCCGCAGCUUCACUCUUGAGCCAGCGAGACCACGAACCCACCAGAAGGAAGAAACUCCAAACACAUCCGAACAUCAGAAGGAAAAAACUGCAGACACGCCGCCUUUAAGAACUGCAACACCGCGAGGGUCCGCGGCUUCAUUCUUGAAGUCAGUGAGACCAAGAACCCACCAAUUCCAGACACGCUACCAAAGGCAGAGGGGAGCUCCUAGACAAAGAUAUUUUGCUUACAAAUGGAACACAUCAAAUCAAGCUUUUGUGAACUUGAGGGAAGAAACAAAGAAUAUGAAGCCUAAAUGGAAGUGUCAGGAAAUGGUCGCCUUGCGGACAAGGAAACAGCAGCCUGGAAGGCCAGGAGAGGGCAGACUACCCACCUAACCCUCUGCAGAAUUUUGUGUGGACCCUGGAGACCAGAAACUAACUUCUCCUGCAGAGACAAGGUCUUGCUCUGUCACCCUGGCUGGUCUUGAACUCCUGGCUUCAAGCAAUUCAUCCAUCUCAGCCUCCUGAGUAGCUGGGAUUACAG
Molecule: long non-coding RNA, 736 nt
Filed under: Pan troglodytes (chimpanzee)
Lineage: Eukaryota; Metazoa; Chordata; Mammalia; Primates; Hominidae
Description: lincRNA
Source: RNAcentral